This 499-nucleotide ribosomal RNA is filed under the name uncultured bacterium. RNAcentral's name for it is "partial 16S ribosomal RNA". It matches the Rfam family "Bacterial small subunit ribosomal RNA", at positions 899 to 1397 of the family's 1533-position model. The record is from RNAcentral.
ACUCAAAUGAAUUGACGGGGACCUGCACAACCAGUGGAGCAUGUGGUUUAAUUCGAGACGAACCGAAGAACCUUACCCGGGUUUGACAUUCUAUCGUGUAAGCCACUAGAAAUAGAGGAAGAUUUUGCCGAAAUGCAAAAUGAUAGAACAGGUGUUGCAUGGCUGUCGUCAGCUCGUGCCGUGGGGUGUUCCCUUCAGUGGGGUAACGAGCGCAACCCCUGCCAAAUGUUGAAUUGUUCAUUUGGGACUUCCAGAUUUUAUAUUUGGAGGAAGUGGGGACGACGUCAAGUCAGCAUGGCCCUUAUGUCCGGGGCGACACACAUGCUACAAUGGAGCCGACAAUGGGUUGCCAAGCCGCGAGGCGGAGCUAAUCCCAUCAAACGGCUUCUCAGUGGGGAUUGGAGGCUGCAACUCGCCUCCAUGAACGUGGAAUUGGUAGUAAUCGCGCAUCAGCUAUGGCGCGGUGAAUACGUUAUCAGGUCUUGUACACACCGCCCGU